AUUGAACGCUGGCGGCAGGCCUAACACAUGCAAGUCGAGCGGCAGCGGAAAGUAGCUUGCUACUUUGCCGGCGAGCGGCGGACGGGUGAGUAAUGUCUGGGAAACUGCCUGAUGGAGGGGGAUAACUACUGGAAACGGUAGCUAAUACCGCAUAACGUCGCAAGACCAAAGAGGGGGACCUUCGGGCCUCUUGCCAUCAGAUGUGCCCAGAUGGGAUUAGCUAGUAGGUGGGGUAACGGCUCACCUAGGCGACGAUCCCUAGCUUGUCUGAGGGGAUGACCAGCCACACUGGAACUGAGACACGGUCCAGACUCCUACGGGAGGCAGCAGUGGGGAAUAUUGCACAAUGGGCGCAAGCCUGACGCAGCCAUGCCGCGUGUAUGAAGAAGGCCUUCGGGUUGUAAAGUACUUUCAGCGGGGAGGAAGGUGUUGAGGUUAAUAACCUCAGCAAUUGACGUUACCCGCAGAAGAAGCACCGGCUAACUCCGUGCCAGCAGCCGCCGUAA
RNAcentral lists this ribosomal RNA (506 nucleotides) under uncultured bacterium. Its description in RNAcentral is "partial 16S ribosomal RNA". It matches the Rfam family "Bacterial small subunit ribosomal RNA", at positions 30 to 523 of the family's 1533-position model. The record is from RNAcentral.